Molecule: ribosomal RNA, 1536 nt
Filed under: Coprobacter fastidiosus NSB1 = JCM 33896
Lineage: Bacteria; Pseudomonadati; Bacteroidota; Bacteroidia; Bacteroidales; Barnesiellaceae
Description: bacterial SSU rRNA
Rfam family: Bacterial small subunit ribosomal RNA
Source: RNAcentral
AUACAACGAAGAGUUUGAUCCUGGCUCAGGAUGAACGCUAGCGACAGGCCUAACACAUGCAAGUCGAGGGGCAACAUGGUAUCAGCUUGCUGAUACCGAUGGCGACCGGCGCACGGGUGAGUAACGCGUAUGUAAUCUACCUGUAACAGAGGGAUAACCCGGAGAAAUCCGGACUAAUACCUCAUAGCACAUAUUAUUCGCAUGAAUUUUAUGUUAAAGAGACUCGGUUACAGAUGAACAUGCGUUCCAUUAGCUAGUUGGCGGGGUCACGGCCCACCAAGGCAACGAUGGAUAGGGGUUCUGAGAGGAAGGUCCCCCACACUGGUACUGAGACACGGACCAGACUCCUACGGGAGGCAGCAGUGAGGAAUAUUGGUCAAUGGGCGGAAGCCUGAACCAGCCAAGUCGCGUGGAGGAAGACGGCCCUACGGGUUGUAAACUCCUUUUACCUGGGAAUAACGGGCGCUACGUGUAGCGCUGUGCAUGUACCGGGAGAAUAAGCAUCGGCUAAUUCCGUGCCAGCAGCCGCGGUAAUACGGAAGAUGCGAGCGUUAUCCGGAUUUAUUGGGUUUAAAGGGUGCGUAGGCGGAAGAAUAAGUCAGCGGUGAAAUGCUUCAGCUCAACUGGAGAAUUGCCGAUGAAACUGUUUUUCUAGAGUAUAAAAGAGGUAUGCGGAAUGCGUGGUGUAGCGGUGAAAUGCAUAGAUAUCACGCAGAACCCCGAUUGCGAAGGCAGCAUACUGGGCUAUAACUGACGCUGAAGCACGAAAGCGUGGGUAUCGAACAGGAUUAGAUACCCUGGUAGUCCACGCCGUAAACGAUGAAUACUAACUGUUUGCGAUAUAAUGUAAGCGGUACAGCGAAAGCGUUAAGUAUUCCACCUGGGGAGUACGCCGGCAACGGUGAAACUCAAAGGAAUUGACGGGGGCCCGCACAAGCGGAGGAACAUGUGGUUUAAUUCGAUGAUACGCGAGGAACCUUACCCGGGCUCAAACGACAGGGGAAUAAUCCCGAAAAGGAUUAGCCAGCAAUGGUCGCUGUCGAGGUGCUGCAUGGUUGUCGUCAGCUCGUGCCGUGAGGUGUCGGCUUAAGUGCCAUAACGAGCGCAACCCUUACCGGUAGUUACUAACAGGUCAAGCUGAGGACUCUACCGGGACUGCCAGCGCAAGCUGUGAGGAAGGUGGGGAUGACGUCAAAUCAGCACGGCCCUUACGUCCGGGGCGACACACGUGUUACAAUGGCAGGUACAAAGAGUCGCGACGUAGCAAUACGUAGCCAAUCCCAAAAACCUGUCUCAGUUCGGAUCGGAGUCUGCAACUCGACUCCGUGAAGCUGGAUUCGCUAGUAAUCGCGCAUCAGCCAUGGCGCGGUGAAUACGUUCCCGGGCCUUGUACACACCGCCCGUCAAGCCAUGGGAGCCGGGAGUACCUGAAGUAUGCAACCGCAAGGAGCGUCCUAGGGUAAUACUGGUGACUGGGGCUAAGUCGUAACAAGGUAGCCGUACCGGAAGGUGCGGCUGGAACACCUCCUUUCUGGA